RNAcentral lists this unclassified non-coding RNA (226 nucleotides) under soil metagenome. RNAcentral's name for it is "partial internal transcribed spacer 1". The record is from RNAcentral.
AGAUAAAACAGUGGCUAGCAUACUCUCAAGCAUGCGAAUCGUCAAACCAUUUCUGAGUACAUCACUUCCGCGUUGCUUUCGCAGGUGGAGACCGGCGCAAACGCGGGACGACUCUUUUGGAGUCCCCCGGACACGCGUCGCAAUCUGCGAAAGGGUCAGGAUUUUUUAAAUUCUCGUGUUUAAACGUCGUCCGUCCUCGUCUGAAACUAUAAUUACAAAACUACAA